AUUCCCUUGGUCUUGGCAGAAUUAAGUCACACAAAUAAAACACAGCGUUAUCACAAUGCUCAGUGGAUCUCAGUGGGAUAAAAAAGGAACUUUGCUAUAUUGAAGAUGACUCCUUUUAUGUAAUCAGAGACUGCAGGAUGAAGUCGGAGAGAGAAGCCACACAUGAACUGGGAGUGAAAAUCCUUCAGCUGAGCAGUGGCCCAUUGUCCAAACAGCCUGUCUCACACUGCCAGGAUGCUGUGAAGGGUCCAUUGUGUUUGUCACUAUCUGUCUACACCUGUCAGACAUAUUGUCUUUCAUUCUGAAGUUCCAGCAUCAAGAAUACAAAGUGGCACCUGCAAACAUCCAUCCAUCCAUCCAUCCAUCCAUUCAUCCAUCCAUCCAUCCAUGGGCUACAUCUUCAUCCCUGAAGUUUAGCAGCCACUGGACAAGAGGCGGGUGAGAGCGUGGAUAGGUCGCCGGUCUAUCGCAAGGUCUCGGAGAGAAACACAGGGAAACAGAAGAGCUUCUGCAUCAGAGUGUAAACAAAGAUUUUACGUUCAGUUUGACAAAUGUCCCGGCAGCCAUCGCAUUCCUGUAAGGACAAAGUCAGUGUGGGGUGAGACAAAAACAAAAAAGGCAAAGUGACACACAAA
This is a long non-coding RNA of Poecilia latipinna (sailfin molly), 635 nucleotides long. RefSeq lists it as uncharacterized. The transcript is spliced from 4 exons. The record is from RefSeq and is a predicted model, not a curated record. NCBI's taxonomy places the organism in Eukaryota, Metazoa, Chordata, Actinopteri, Cyprinodontiformes, Poeciliidae.